Molecule: long non-coding RNA, 1010 nt
Filed under: Sorghum bicolor (sorghum)
Lineage: Eukaryota; Viridiplantae; Streptophyta; Magnoliopsida; Poales; Poaceae
Description: long non-coding RNA (SBIC_LNC016198)
Source: RNAcentral
GAGCCGAUUUAUAUCAAUACCUAUCAACUGGUAUCAAAGCUUUCGUUAUCAUAGUAGGUCUCACAAUCAUCCACAUAUUUACCUUUAGUUUAUAUCUUUUUUGACUGAAGUCAGCAAGGAAAACCCCAGCCUAUUUUUUAAUUUUUUUUGAUAAUGCAAACAUGUUUAAAUUCGCUCCCACGGGGAGUCAAACCCAGGUCUACUAGUGCUACUUAGGUGCUCUAACCACUAGGCUAAAGGCCCUUUCGCCUUUACUUUUUCUCUCAUUUGUUACUGUUUUGUUCAUCACCUAUAGUUCACUCAAAAAGCCAAAAAAACCUAUAGCCCUUUGAUGGUAUUAUUAUCGUGUGUUUUUUGUGUUCAUCAAGUUGCUAGUCACCAUCGCUACAUAUAUUGUGUCAUGUUUUAUUUGUUAUUCACACCCCUGUUAAUAUAAUAAAAGAGUAAAAAAAUCAGAGAGAAAAAGUUUAGAGAAAAGAAAAAAGACGAAAAGAAAGAUCCAAAAGAGAAAUAAAAGAAGAGGAAAGGGGUUGUAUUGCGGUUUGCUUACUAAAAAAUUCAGUUUACAUAUUUAGAAUCUUAAUGAUUUAUAUACCAGCAACAUUAUAUCUUUUGAGCACAUCAAACUGCUUGAUUUUCAGUACCAUAGCUUCCCUAGUUUAGUCACCUAUAGCUCCACCAAAAUUGAAACCAGGACAUUCGACUCGUAAUUCUUGCGACCUCGGAAUCACUUCUGUUGAGCUGCUACACUAUGAAAGGUCCUAAUAUGGCUAAAGGGGGUGAAUAGCCUUUUUAAAAAUUCUACAAACUCACUAGAGCAAGAGGUUAGUAAGUAACAAAGCGAAGCUUUUUGCUCUAGCUCUAAUGGGGUGUUUGCAAGCCACCUAUCCAACAAUUCUAGUUGAUAUAAUCACUAGGCACACAAGAGUUAUGUCACUACAAGCUACGCUAGUGAACGAUGCUACACAAGGCAAGACUAGCAACUAAUCUAGUUACACUACUUUGCGGUA